UUUUCUCGUUUGUUGACAUUUUUGUUUUUAAUGGCGGCCUGCUGUCAUUUAAAAUGAAUAAAUAUAUUACUUUUAGAAAAGGGCCGACUGCUCGUGAAGAGAACGAUGGAAUUUAUAGAUUCGGCUGGGAAACUUGUCGAGAAAGCUUUUUUGCUUUUUUAGAUAAACUGACACGAGAGUUUGGUACCUUCUCAAACAGGCAUAAUUUCAAUCUAAUUAAUUUUAUCUGAGAUUUUUUAACCAGAUUUUUUUACUAACAGGGAGCCCUCACUUUUUGCCGUAGCAAAACUGUUGGCAACUGGUCUUGUAAAUCUGGACAGGGUAGAAGUUCUUUGGCGUCCUCUUACAAAUCACCUGCUGGAAGUCAUCAUCCACCCGUUUAACCACAUGAGAGAAUGGGGAAUAGGGGCCAUUACUACGUUAGUUAGAUAAGCAAUUCAAUAUGAAUAUUCUACCCCUUUAAAAGAAAACCAGGUAACUAUCCGAAACAGUUAGGCUAUUUGUGUUUAGGCAGUUGAAGAAUAGCGAACUCUAUCCGUUAUUAAUCAGACAGAGAUUGCAGAC
Long non-coding RNA from Daphnia magna, 564 nucleotides. RefSeq lists it as uncharacterized. NCBI's taxonomy places the organism in Eukaryota, Metazoa, Arthropoda, Branchiopoda, Diplostraca, Daphniidae. The record is from RefSeq and is a predicted model, not a curated record. The transcript has 3 exons.